Molecule: non-coding RNA, 346 nt
Filed under: Pongo abelii (Sumatran orangutan)
Lineage: Eukaryota; Metazoa; Chordata; Mammalia; Primates; Hominidae
Source: RNAcentral
GAACACAGCAAGCAAACACAUGCACCCAAGUAGUGCCUAGGGAACUCGAGGCUCUCCAAGCAAAAAAGGAGAGAGGGUCAGAAGAGGUGCCCAGCAGACUGCCACAUGGUAGACAAGAGUUCCCUUUUUGGUAAAGUGGCCAUUACUGUCAAGUUUUCUCAAGCAAGAAAUUCAGGAAUCUUGCCAGGGGCAAAGCUAUCCAGAUCCAAAAAUUGGGUGCAACCUAGUUUUGUGCUCCCAGAAGACAUCCAGAUGGCAAGGAAGGCAUGUAACCAAGCCCCUGAAAUAAUCAAUUCUAUGAAUAGUUGAAACAUAUCUUCUAUGGGAGGACAUGUUUGGAAAAAAU